RNAcentral lists this ribosomal RNA (377 nucleotides) under uncultured eukaryote. RNAcentral's name for it is "partial 18S ribosomal RNA". It matches the Rfam family "Eukaryotic small subunit ribosomal RNA", at positions 592 to 976 of the family's 1831-position model. The record is from RNAcentral.
CAAUAGCGUAUGUUUAAGUUGCUGCAGUUAAAAAGCUCGUAGUUGGAUUUCGGGUGGGAAUGGCCGGUCCGCCGUUUCGGUGUGCACUUGCUACGCCCACCUUGCUGCCGGGGACGUGCUCUUGAGUUCACGCUCGGGACACGGAGUCGGCGAGGUUACUUUGAGUAAAUUAGAGUGUUCAAAGCAGGCCUACGCUCUGAAUACAUUAGCAUGGAAUAACACGAUAGGACUCUGGCCUAUCUUGUUGGUCUGUAGGACCGGAGUAAUGAUUAAGAGGGACAGUCGGGGGCAUUCGUAUUUCAUUGUCAGAGGUGAAAUUCUUGGAUUUAUGAAAGACGAACUACUGCGAAAGCAUUUGCCAAGGAUGUUUUCAUUGA